This 486-nucleotide ribosomal RNA is filed under the name uncultured bacterium. RNAcentral's name for it is "partial 16S ribosomal RNA". It matches the Rfam family "Bacterial small subunit ribosomal RNA", at positions 30 to 507 of the family's 1533-position model. The record is from RNAcentral.
AUUGAACGCUGGCGGCAUGCCUUACACAUGCGAGUCGAACGGCAGCGCGGACUUCGGUCUGGCGGCGAGUGGCGAACGGGUGGGUAAUACAUCGGAACGUACCCUGUUGUGGGGGAUAACUAGUCGAAAGAUUAGCUAAUACCGCAUACGACCUGAGGGUGAAAGUGGGGGACCGGAAACGGCCUCAUGCAGCAGGAGCGGCCGAUGUCUGAUUAGCUAGUUGGUGGGGUAAAGGCCCACCAAGGCGACGAUCAGUAGCUGGUCUGAGAGGACGAUCAGCCACACUGGGACUGAGACACGGCCCAGACUCCUACGGGAGGCAGCAGUGGGGAAUUUUGGACAAUGGGGGCAACCCUGAUCCAGCAAUGCCGCGUGUGUGAAGAAGGCCUUCGGGUUGUAAAGCACUUUUGUCCGGAAAGAAAUCGCGCUGGUUAAUACCUGGCGUGGAUGACGGUACCGGAAGAAUAAGCACCGGCUAACUACGUG